This 392-nucleotide ribosomal RNA is filed under the name uncultured bacterium. RNAcentral describes it as "partial 16S ribosomal RNA". It matches the Rfam family "Bacterial small subunit ribosomal RNA", at positions 523 to 917 of the family's 1533-position model. The record is from RNAcentral.
AUACGGAGGAUGCAAGCGUUAUCCGGAUUUAUUGGGUUUAAAGGGUGCGUAGGCGGGACUGUAAGUCAGGGGUGAAAUACUGCAGCUUAACUGUAGCAUUGCCUUUGAAACUGCCGUUCUUUAGUACAGUUGAGGUAGGCGGAAUGUGGUGUGGAGCGGUGAAAUGCAUAGAUAUACCACAGAACGCCGAUUGCGAAGGCAGCUUACUAAGCUGUUACUGACGCUGAGGCACGAAAGCGUGGGGAUCAAACAGGAUUAGAUACCCUGGUAGUCCACGCUGUAAACGAUGAUUACUGGUUGUUAGCGAUAUAUAGCUAGUGACUGAGCGAAAGCAUUAAGUAAUCCACCUGGGGAGUACGUCGGCAACGAUGAAACUCAAAGGAAUUGACGGG